This 23-nucleotide non-coding RNA is filed under the name Cricetulus griseus (Chinese hamster). Lineage: Eukaryota; Metazoa; Chordata; Mammalia; Rodentia; Cricetidae. The record is from RNAcentral.
GUGGGAUGUCAGUGUCGGCGUGG